UACGGGGGGGGCAAGCGUUGUUCGGAAUUAUUGGGCGUAAAGAGCUCGUAGGCGGUUUGUCGCGUCUGCUGUGAAAACUCGGGGCUUAACUCCGGGCCUGCAGUGGGUACGGGCAGACUAGAGUGCGGUAGGGGAGACUGGAAUUCCUGGUGUAGCGGUGAAAUGCGCAGAUAUCAGGAAGAACACCCGUGGCGAAAGCGGCUCUCUGGAACGGUACUGACGCUGAGACGCGAAAGCGUGGGGAGCAAAACGG
RNAcentral lists this ribosomal RNA (253 nucleotides) under uncultured bacterium. Its description in RNAcentral is "partial 16S ribosomal RNA". It matches the Rfam family "Bacterial small subunit ribosomal RNA", at positions 524 to 776 of the family's 1533-position model. The record is from RNAcentral.